AGUGGCGGACGGGUGAGUAACGCGUGAGAAACUGCCUUUAGGACGGGGACAACAGUUGGAAACGACUGCUAAUACCCGAUAGGACGAAAGUUGAAAGAUUUAUCGCCUAAAGAUGUGCUCGCGUCCGAUUAGCUAGUUGGUGGGGUAAAAGCCUACCAAGGCGACGAUCGGUAGCUGGUCUGAGAGGAUGAGCAGCCACACUGGGACUGAGACACGGCCCAGACUCCUACGGGAGGCAGCAGUGGGGAAUUUUCCGCAAUGGGCGAAAGCCUGACGGAGCAAUACCGCGUGAGGGAGGAAGGCUCUUGGGUCGUAAACCUCUUUUCUCAAGGAAGAUAAUGACGGUACUUGAGGAAUCAGCAUCGGCUAACUCCGUGCCAGCAGCCGCGGUAAUACGGAGGAUGCAAGCGUUAUCCGGAAUGAUUGGGCGUAAAGCGUCCGUAGGUGGUUGAAUAAGUCUGCGGUUAAAGAAUGGAGCUUAACUCCAUACCAGCCGUGGAAACUGUUGAACUAGAGGCAAGUAGGGGUAAAGGGAAUUCCCAGUGUAGCGGUGAAAUGCGUAGAGAUUGGGAAGAACACCGGUGGCGAAAGCGCUUUACUGGACUUGAACUGACACUGAGGGACGAAAGCUAGGGGAGCGAAAGGGAUUAGAUACCCCUGUAGUCCUAGCCGUAAACGAUGGAUACUAGGUGUUGCUUGU
RNAcentral lists this ribosomal RNA (700 nucleotides) under uncultured bacterium. Its description in RNAcentral is "bacterial SSU rRNA". It matches the Rfam family "Bacterial small subunit ribosomal RNA", at positions 94 to 830 of the family's 1533-position model. The record is from RNAcentral.